Melospiza melodia melodia is the source of this 233-nucleotide long non-coding RNA. RefSeq lists it as uncharacterized. The transcript has 3 exons. Lineage: Eukaryota; Metazoa; Chordata; Aves; Passeriformes; Passerellidae. The record is from RefSeq and is a predicted model, not a curated record.
CUGACCUUUAUGCUCUGCCAGAUAACAGUGGUAGUGAUAUAAGUGCUUCCUUUGAAUUCUGCAGGUUUUCUCUCAGAAGUGGCACAUGAGCUCUGCCUCUCCUGUCCUGCCUGUGCACCCUCUGUCCAACGUGACCAAGAUCCUGCUCUGCACCCCUGGGAAGAAGCUGGAAGAUCCAGGCAAGAAGCCAGACUGACAGUUCCCUGUGUCUGCUUACUUCAAGUGAAACUGGA